RNAcentral lists this ribosomal RNA (442 nucleotides) under Listeria monocytogenes. RNAcentral describes it as "bacterial SSU rRNA". It matches the Rfam family "Bacterial small subunit ribosomal RNA", at positions 1098 to 1533 of the family's 1533-position model. Lineage: Bacteria; Bacillati; Bacillota; Bacilli; Caryophanales; Listeriaceae. The record is from RNAcentral.
GCAACCCUUGAUUUUAGUUGCCAGCAUUUAGUUGGGCACUCUAAAGUGACUGCCGGUGCAAGCCGGAGGAAGGUGGGGAUGACGUCAAAUCAUCAUGCCCCUUAUGACCUGGGCUACACACGUGCUACAAUGGAUAGUACAAAGGGUCGCGAAGCCGCGAGGUGGAGCUAAUCCCAUAAAACUAUUCUCAGUUCGGAUUGUAGGCUGCAACUCGCCUACAUGAAGCCGGAAUCGCUAGUAAUCGUGGAUCAGCAUGCCACGGUGAAUACGUUCCCGGGCCUUGUACACACCGCCCGUCACACCACGAGAGUUUGUAACACCCGAAGUCGGUAGGGUAACCUUUAUGGAGCCAGCCGCCGAAGGUGGGACAGAUAAUUGGGGUGAAGUCGUAACAAGGUAGCCGUAUCGGAAGGUGCGGCUGGAUCACCUCCUUUCUAAGGAA